RNAcentral lists this microRNA (25 nucleotides) under Rattus norvegicus (Norway rat). RNAcentral describes it as "rno-miR-6323". The record is from miRBase by way of RNAcentral. Lineage: Eukaryota; Metazoa; Chordata; Mammalia; Rodentia; Muridae.
UGGAACUCCAUCUCUGGUCUGUGCA